This 449-nucleotide ribosomal RNA is filed under the name uncultured bacterium. RNAcentral describes it as "bacterial SSU rRNA". It matches the Rfam family "Bacterial small subunit ribosomal RNA", at positions 354 to 796 of the family's 1533-position model. The record is from RNAcentral.
GUAGGGAGUAUUCGGCAAUGGGGGAAACCCUGACCGAGCAACGCCGCGUGAAUGAUGACGGCCUUCGGGUUGUAAAAUUCUGUGGCGAGGAACGAAUGGCAAGGAGAGGAAAUGCUCUUUGUUUGACGGUACCUCGCUAGAAAGCCACGGCUAACUACGUGCCAGCAGCCGCGGUAAUACGUAGGUGGCAAGCGUUAUCCGGAAUUAUUGGGCGUAAAGAGUGAGCAGGCGGUUUUUUAAGUCUGAAGUCAAAUCCUGUGGCUCAACCACAGUUCGCUUUGGAAACUGAAGAACUAGAGUGCGGGAGAGGUAAGCGGAAUUCCAUAUGUAGCGGUGAAAUGCACAGAUAUAUGGAGGAACACCGGUGGCGAAGGCGGCUUACCAGCCCGAUACUGACGCUCAGUCACGAAAGCGUGGGGAGCAAAUAGGCUUAGAAACCCGGGUAGUCC